GCGUCGGCCCAAUUGAUAUGGCCGAUUUCCUCAGUGUUGAUGUCCACCAUUUGGGGCCGUCCUUCGGCCCGGAUUUCUUCAACUUUAUCUCCGAUCCACUGGAAUAGUUUCCCGUGGAGUGUAGAAGGCACGCACUCGUUUGCAUGAAUCCAAUCACGCCCGAGUAGUAGGUUAUAUUGACUAUCUGCAUCAACCACAAAGAAUGCAGUUCGUAAAGUUUUAGAACCUACCGUGAUCUCGGUCGUAAGCACCCCUCGAGCUUGCUGACCGUUCCCAGUGAAGUCGGUCAUGAUCGUGUCCGUAGGUUUCAACUCAUCUUCAUCUUUGCCCAACUUCUUAAAGAAUGCAGUGGGCAUGACAUUGACCAUUGCUCCGCCGUCUACCAUAACUCGGCCUACUGGCCGACCUUCAAUUAGGGCCCGAAUAAAAAGAGGCCUUACGAAUCUUGUCUACAUGGCCGAUGGCUUCUCGAAAACCACCAUAUCGGCCGGUUUGGCAUCUUCCAAUUGCAACUGGGAUACUUUAAGCCCAUCUUCCUCCUCUUCUUUGAACUCUUCAUACUCGAUAAGCUCUGCCUUAAAAGAUUGAGGCAGAGCAUAUACCAUAUUCACCUCAGCCGGCGACUCUUCGGCUGACUUUCCUUUAAUUCUUUGUUCUUUUCUUCCGACUCUUUGGCCGUCUCGGCUGAAGAGUCACUCUCCAUCCGGACCUCCCUUUCCUUAGGGGGCCAUCUCUUUCUCUUGAUCAUCGUUUCGAGGGAAGCUAUUUUGUCUUCUAACUCCCUCCUGCUUAUUUUUUCUUCUGACUCGGCCUCGGUUGGCCGUUCUACCCUUGACUUCAUCCGAGGGGCAGGCGAUGAGCCGCCUGCCUCGUGGUCGUUUCUCAUUGGGCGAAAAGGGUGUGACUGCUCAUCAGGGCGCCUCCAUACAUUAAGCCUUAUCCCUUUCGCUUCUUCAUAGUGUUGUCUUGCCUCAGUUUGCAUCCUUUGCUGCCGACGCUUUUGAGUUUUCGUUAACAUCGGCCCCUGCCACCUAGCCGAUGGUUUAACCUCAACUUCGUGCCAUUCAUCCACUGGCACGUUCGCCGGUACCUUUACUGUUCUCAAAUAAUUUUUCAAAAUUUCUCUUCUCUCCCAAGGUCUCGACCAAGGCUGAAUGCCGAGCUCGUUGACUAAUCUCCGACCGAGGAAUUCUAUGUCUCCCUUGGUCAUUCCUUCGAAUUCCGGCUCGGGUCUUGGCCUCGUUUGGUGCUGCCAAUGCGGCCGAUAUCCGGGAAUCCUUGGCUUGGUGCCGAAAGGUCUACCCUGGUAGUCCCAUCGGCUUUGACGCUCGCCACGCCUGUUGUUGUAAUAAUCAUGCAGAAUCUUCUGCAUCAACAUGUCUUGUUUGCGUUGAACCGAUUUGACUUCCGGUUCAGUGUCAUUGGAGGCCUCGUCUGAGCCUUUUUCUUCUUGGUCUUCACCAUCAGGAAUGUCAUCCCAUUCCUCGGGGAAUGCCAUCAACUCAUUCCACUCGUUGCCUCUUUUCUUGGCGUUGACAAUGGCUUCCCAAUCUUUUUUCAUCAUUUCGGCCUUGCACCUUAUGCAAAGCCGAAGAUGCUUUUUGGCAUGUGCCACGUUGUCUGCGGUCUCCAAGUCCGCAGUCUCUUUCCCUUUAACAUUCACCAUAUUGACCUGAAAAGGAAACGAACUUCUGUCAAUUACCUUAUUUUCAUUUUCUUGGUCGGCUAAUAUGAGCCGACCCUCUAAUAAAUCCGGCCUUUAAAAGAUUUUCUAUUUCAUUCUUAAUUUGGAGUACAAUACUCGGCUCAAACCUACGAGCCGGUUGUUUAAAAGGCUUAAACCCUUUUUUAAUGGGCAGCCUAUGAUCUACAAUUUUUCGACUUAACCCAUGCAUUUCUUCAUAGCUCCAGUCGAAGCAAUCCUUGUACUCCUUCAAUAGUUCUUUCAGCUCCUUUUGCUGUCGAGCCGAAAGCUUUGCGCUUAUAUACGUCGGUCUUUUAUCUUCGUCGGAUCCCAAAUUUACUUCAAUCAGCGGGUUUUGGGUCUCCAACUUUUUCUCAUCGACUUUGAUAGGCGAUUCUUCUAGAUCCAAUUCUUUUGCUUGCCUAUUCAUUUCGUAUGACUUGUCGGUCUCGGUGACCGACUUCAUUUGAUUUUCUUUUUCGGCCCUGUAAACCGAAUCUAUUAUGACUUCUUCGGCUUUAUUAGCCGAGUCAUCAAGCGUUAACACAUCGGCUGUGACAGCCAAAUCUUCCUUAUAGCCGAUCUUGUUGAUCGGCUUAUCCUGUCGAGGCUCUUGACAAGCCUCUAUUCUCAAUUUUUCGGACUCCAUUUUAACCAUUUUGGCGGCUCAUCAGCUGCCACUAAAGCCCCUUCUUCUCUAGUAAAGAUCAACUGGACUCCUUCUUCUGUAACUCUUACGAAGGAAAUUUGAUUCGAAUUCGCGUCGGCCCAAUUGAUAUGGCCGAUUUCCUCAGUGUUGAUGUCCACCAUUUGGGGCCGUCCUUCGGCCCGGAUUUCUUCAACUUUAUCUCCGAUCCACUGGAAUAGUUUCCCGUGGAGUGUAGAAGGCACGCACUCGUUUGCAUGAAUCCAAUCACGCCCGAGUAGUAGGUUAUAUUGACUAUCUGCAUCAACCACAAAGAAUGCAGUUCGUAAAGUUUUAGAACCUACCGUGAUCUCGGUCGUAAGCACCCCUCGAGCUUGCUGACCGUUCCCAGUGAAGUCGGUCAUGAUCGUGUCCGUAGGUUUCAACUCAUCUUCAUCUUUGCCCAACUUCUUAAAGAAUGCAGUGGGCAUGACAUUGACCAUUGCUCCGCCGUCUACCAUAACUCGGCCUACUGGCCGACCUUCAAUUAGGGCCCGAAUAAAAAGAGGCCUUACGAAUCUUGUCUACAUGGCCGAUGGCUUCUCGAAAACCACCAUAUCGGCCGGUUUGGCAUCUUCCAAUUGCAACUGGGAUACUUUAAGCCCAUCUUCCUCCUCUUCUUUGAACUCUUCAUACUCGAUAAGCUCUGCCUUAAAAGAUUGAGGCAGAGCAUAUACCAUAUUCACCUCAGCCGGCGACUCUUCGGCUGACUUUCCUUUAAUUCUUU
RNAcentral lists this long non-coding RNA (3096 nucleotides) under Ananas comosus (pineapple). Its description in RNAcentral is "long non-coding RNA (ACOM_LNC040008)". The record is from RNAcentral. Lineage: Eukaryota; Viridiplantae; Streptophyta; Magnoliopsida; Poales; Bromeliaceae.